GAUGAACGCUGGCGGCGUGCCUAAUACAUGCAAGUCGAGCGAACAGACGAGGAGCUUGCUCCUCUGACGUUAGCGGCGGACGGGUGAGUAACACGUGGAUAACCUACCUAUAAGACUGGGAUAACUUCGGGAAACUGGAGCUAAUACCGGAUAAUAUAUUGAACCGCAUGGUUCAAUAGUGAAAGACGGUUUUGCUGUCACUUAUAGAUGUAUCCGCGCCGCAUUAGCUAGUUGGUAAGGUAACGGCUUACCAAGGCAACGAUGCGUAGCCGACCUGAGAGAGUGAUCGGCCACACUGGAACUGAGACACGGUCCAGACUCCUACGGGAGGCAGCAGUAGGGAAUCUUCCGCAAUGGGCGAAAGCCUGACGGAGCAACGCCGCGUGAGUGAUGAAGGUCUUCGGAUCGUAAAACUCUGUUAUUAGGGAAGAACAAAUGUGUAAGUAACUAUGCACGUCUUGACGGUACCUACUCAGAAAGCCACGGCUAACUACGUG
This 497-nucleotide ribosomal RNA is filed under the name uncultured bacterium. RNAcentral's name for it is "partial 16S ribosomal RNA". It matches the Rfam family "Bacterial small subunit ribosomal RNA", at positions 28 to 507 of the family's 1533-position model. The record is from RNAcentral.